RNAcentral lists this ribosomal RNA (253 nucleotides) under uncultured bacterium. Its description in RNAcentral is "partial 16S ribosomal RNA". It matches the Rfam family "Bacterial small subunit ribosomal RNA", at positions 524 to 776 of the family's 1533-position model. The record is from RNAcentral.
UACGUAGGGGGCAAGCGUUGUCCGGAAUCAUUGGGCGUAAAGAGCGUGUAGGCGGCCAGAUAAGUCCGCUGUGAAAACUCGAGGCUCAACUUCGAGCUGUCGGUGGAAACUGUCUGGCUAGAGUCCGGAAGAGGAGAAUGGAAUUCCUGGUGUAGCGGUGAAAUGCGCAGAUAUCAGGAAGAACACCCGUGGCGAAGGCGGUUCUCUGGGACGGUACUGACGCUGAGACGCGAAAGCGUGGGGAGCGAACAGG